GUUACCAAACUGUUGCCUCGGCGGGGUCACGCCCCGGGUGCGUCGCAGCCCCGGAACCAGGCGCCCGCCGGAGGAACCAACCAAACUCUUUCUGUAGUCCCCUCGCGGACGUAUUUCUUACAGCUCUGAGCAAAAAUUCAAAAUGAAUCAAAACUUUCAACAACGGAUCUCUUGGUUCUGGCAUCGAUGAAGAACGCAGCGAAAUGCGAUAAGUAAUGUGAAUUGCAGAAUUCAGUGAAUCAUCGAAUCUUUGAACGCACAUUGCGCCCGCCAGUAUUCUGGCGGGCAUGCCUGUCCGAGCGUCAUUUCAACCCUCGAACCCCUCCGGGGGAUCGGCGUUGGGGAUCGGGACCCCUCACACGGGUGCCGGCCCCUAAAUACAGUGGCGGUCUCGCCGCAGCCUCUCCUGCGCAGUAGUUUGCACAACUCGCACCGGGAGCGCGGCGCGUCCACGUCCGUAAAACACCCAACUUUCUGAAAUGUUGACCUCGGAUCAGGUAGGAAUACCCGCUGAACUUAAGCAUAUCAAAAGCCGGGAGGAA
This 542-nucleotide ribosomal RNA is filed under the name Trichoderma hamatum. RNAcentral's name for it is "eukaryotic LSU rRNA". The stretch from base 152 to 305 matches the Rfam family "5.8S ribosomal RNA". The record is from RNAcentral. Lineage: Eukaryota; Fungi; Ascomycota; Sordariomycetes; Hypocreales; Hypocreaceae.